Molecule: transfer RNA, 74 nt
Filed under: Rhizomicrobium sp. SCGC AG-212-E05
Lineage: Bacteria; Pseudomonadati; Pseudomonadota; Alphaproteobacteria; Micropepsales; Micropepsaceae
Rfam family: tRNA
About the family: Transfer RNA (tRNA) molecules are approximately 80 nucleotides in length. Their secondary structure includes four short double-helical elements and three loops (D, anti-codon, and T loops). Further hydrogen bonds mediate the characteristic L-shaped molecular structure. tRNAs have two regions of fundamental functional importance: the anti-codon, which is responsible for specific mRNA codon recognition, and the 3' end, to which the tRNAs corresponding amino acid is attached (by aminoacyl-tRNA synthetases). tRNAs cope with the degeneracy of the genetic code in two manners: having more than one tRNA (with a specific anti-codon) for a particular amino acid; and 'wobble' base-pairing, i.e. permitting non-standard base-pairing at the 3rd anti-codon position.
Source: Rfam by way of RNAcentral
GGGCCUGUAGCUCAGUUGGUUAGAGCUGACCGCUCAUAACGGUUAGGUCCCAGGUUCGAGUCCUGGCGGGCCCA